Molecule: ribosomal RNA, 516 nt
Filed under: uncultured bacterium
Lineage: Bacteria
Description: partial 16S ribosomal RNA
Rfam family: Bacterial small subunit ribosomal RNA
Source: RNAcentral
GACGAACGCUGGCGGCGUGCCUAACACAUGCAAGUCGAACGGAGUGUUUAUUUAUAAACACUUAGUGGCGAACGGGUGAGUAACGCGUAGACAACCUACCCUCUAGAUGGGGACAACACCGCGAAAGUGGUGCUAAUACCGAAUGUUGUAAUGUUGUUGCAUAAUGAUAUUACUAAAGGUGGCCUCUAUAUAAAAGCUACCGCUAGAAGAUGGGUCUGCGUCUGAUUAGCUAGUUGGUGAGAUAACAGCUCACCAAGGCAAUGAUCAGUAGCCGGUCUGAGAGGAUGAACGGCCAAACUGGGACUGAGACACGGCCCAGACUCCUACGGGAGGCAGCAGUGGGGAAUCUUCCGCAAUGGACGAAAGUCUGACGGAGCAACGCCGCGUGAGUGAAGAAGGUUUUCGGAUCGUAAAGCUCUGUCUUCAAGGACGAAUGUAGAUAUUGUGAAUAAUGAUAUUUAAUGACGGUACUUGAGGAGGAAGCCACGGCUAACUACGUGCCAGCCGCCGCGGUAA